RNAcentral lists this non-coding RNA (443 nucleotides) under Ictidomys tridecemlineatus (thirteen-lined ground squirrel). Its description in RNAcentral is "Spermophilus tridecemlineatus (thirteen-lined ground squirrel) Eukaryotic small subunit ribosomal RNA". It matches the Rfam family "Eukaryotic small subunit ribosomal RNA", at positions 617 to 1072 of the family's 1831-position model. Lineage: Eukaryota; Metazoa; Chordata; Mammalia; Rodentia; Sciuridae. The record is from Rfam by way of RNAcentral.
AGUUAAAUGGCUUGUAGUUGAUCCUGGCACAGGGAAGGGUUUGUUGUCAGGGAGCUCCUGUCUGUCUCUUAGGCCCUCUUUGUUUUCAGCUGUUUCAUUGGGGCUGAAGUAUACAUGUGGAGAAAUUGUAGCAUCCAGAGCAGCUAUAGGCUGCCUGGAUACCGUUGCUGGGAACUGUGGAAUGGGAAUGUGGUUCUGUUUUCUUUUGGAACUUUGUGGAGAAUGAUUAAGUAUAAGGUGGAGGUAUUUGUGUUGCACCUCUAGAGCUCUUAAACCAGUAUAAAUCUUAAACCAGUGUAAGACCAACUGAAGUGAAAACUUUUGCCAAGGAUGUUUUCAUUACUCAAGGAUGAAGGUGAAAUGGGGAGUUUUUAAAAGGGUUAGGUCCUAUGUAGUUUUGACCAUGAAGGUUGGAAAUGCCUUCUAUAGACUCUGCCUGCACU